CAGGCUCGCCUGGGUCGUGGUUGGCGAUAAUUGGCCGCCGAGGCCUUAACCCCGCCCCCGUCCUGAUAGGAUAACGUGGAAGCACGAGACGCUGAGGCGUCUGCCUGCCUCGAGCUGUCAGAGAACCCUUAAGCAAGCUCGGCAGGGGGUGGAAUGGAGGGAGGGGCUGAGGAAGAGAGAAGAAAGAGCCCGCGGAGUGCCCUAGAGGGUAAAUUUGUGCCGCGACUUGCUAGGAGGAGGUGACAGAGCCAUAUGCGCAUGCGCUUAGGGCGCUCUGGGAAGCUCCAACUCUGGGCUCGUUUUGCUAACGGGAAGUGGCCUCCCCCUAGGUCUCGCUUUUCCGGUGAUGGUCAGGAAGAGGUGACUUGAAAGGCCGAACUAAGGAUCCUCUAGGUCGAGCUUCGGUUCCACAGACUUGGAACUGAAAGGGGCCUUUGAGAUCUUCCAGGCCCGCCCCCACUGUCUCCGAUAAGGGCACUUGAGGGACUGAGACUCAGCCCCAGUAUGAGCGGGCCUUAUUUGCGGGCGGGAAAAGGACAGAUUUCAUCAGCUAUAUAAGUGGACAGUGAAGUGAUAGAUGAACUUCAGCAUGAGCCAAGUAUAAGAUAAUGAAGAAUCAACCCAAUGUGGUGGAAUAGUCAAAAGAUCAAGGAAAAAAAUGGACUUCAUGUGGGGUCUGAAAUAAAACAGAAAAUGUUACUUUAUCCUCCUUUUAUAAUACUGCAAUUCAAUCCUUUAAAAAGAUGUAAUGGGGUCAUCUAGAUGGCUCGGUGGAUUGAGAGCCAGGCCUAGAUUUGGGAAGUUCUGGGUUCAAAUCUAAUCUCAAACAUUUCUUAGCUAUGUGACAGUGGGCUAGUUAUUUAACAUCUAUUGCCUAGGGCACCUGUGCUGGAGAGGGCUGUUCCUCCCCCUCCAUGUCACUGAGAUAAUUUCUCACAUCACUGCUUUGCCCAGCAGCCCAAUGAGAGCACUUCCUCCUCUUGUCUGGGGUAAGGUGAGGGGCUCACAUACAGCUUGAGGGUUGCAGUUUGGGCACUCAAUCUCCAAAAGGUUCACUUUCACUGGCCUAGAUCUUAUCAUUCUUCUGCUUUUGAACCAAAAUAUAGUGUUGAUUCUAAGACUGAAGGUUAGGGUUUUUAAAAAAAGGAGAUGUAAUGAAGUUGGAAAAAGUAAGGAAGGACAAAUUAAACUGAACAAUUUAGGUUUUAAUUCUAUUAAGAGUCUUGGGUAAAGGCUAUUAGGAAUAAACGUAUAAGAAAUGAAGGUCUGGAUAAGGUGAAAUUUGUUUAUAAAAUACUGGAAUAUUGGAAUUAAGAACUUGCUAGUUUUAGUUAGCCAGACAAUUUGGGAGCUUUAGUAUUAAAAUAACAUCUUAUUUUAGAUUUAGCUGUCAGUAAAUAAUAGACGUUUAUGAACAUUUAUAAAUGAAUCAAAUUUCAAUGUUUUUGUUCUCAUUUAUGCAUUUGAAUACUUGUACUUGUCCACUGAAGUUUAGCAUGUUAAAAAUAUUGGGACAAAUUAAAGGAAACCAGGAUAAAUCAUUAUUGGCAGAUUCUAGGCAAGGUUUAAGAAUGGUACAUCUAUGCUUUGGAAAAUUCUACUCAAUGCAUAUUACUGGCCACCCAAGGCUUUGACUCAACUUCACUACAAAACAAAUAUCUAAGUGUCAUAGAAAACAAUUUUCUGUUACUAAAACUAUUCAAAAUGACCUUCACUGCAUGCUCAUCUCAUACAUAACUGUUGUAUGUCUAAUGUGGAAUAACAGAACAGCUUUCCUUUCUAGAAGGAUUAUUGCCAUCUGGCACUGGAGCCCAAAAUCAAAUUAGCUUUUUGGUUGUCAUAACACACAAGACUGAUAUACUGAGCUUACUCAUAGUCCACUAAACCAACUGAACUUUCCCAGACAACUUUCUGUCUAAUAUUUAUUACUACAGCUAUAUUGUAUUUGUCAAGUUAAUUUUUAGGAUCAUAGUGGAAUACUGUAUUUUAUCCCAUUAAUGUUAAUCUUAUUUUCUAAGCAAAGUAAAAUGGAGACCAUUUUGGUACUUGACUCUGGAAUUCCCUGUUUUCCCUCACAGCUGUCAACUAUAAAUUUGAUAAAAUGUGCCACUUUUGCCUUUAUCUGAUGUUAAACAGGGCAAGGCCAAACCCCAAUUACUGGAAUACUCCAUUAGAAACUUAGCUAGUUUACACUGAGUCAAUCAAUAUUACUCUGAAUUUAUCUAUUCAAGCAGAUCUGAAUCUAUUGUGCAUUCAUCUAGCAUACAUCCAUCAUUUCUGUAAAAAAGAAAUGCUUUUUCUCAAAUUUAGGCAAAUUAUAGUCUAUCUGCAGCAUUUCUUUUAUUUGCCAAUUUGGUAACCCUGCCAAAAAGGGGAAUACCAUUAUUCUAACAUGAGAUGUUCUUGAUGGAACUAUGCUUACUUGUUACAAUCGCCCAUUUCUUUUUUGUUCAGUUAUUUCCAACUUUUCAUGGUCCAAUUUAGGGCUUUCUUAGCAAAGAUAAUGAAGUAGUUUGCCAUUUUCUUCUCCAAUUCAUUUUACAAAUGAGGAAACUGAGGCAAACAGGGUAAGUGAUUUGCCCAGGGUCACACUGCCCCCUAGCUGCCCCAAUUUCUUUGGAGGUUCACUAUCCCUUUAAUGAUCUGCUCUAGAAUUAAAAUAAAAUUGAGGUCAAGUUCACUCACCUAUAUUUCUUAGAAUCUAUGCUCUAACCUUUUUUUUUUUUAAUUAAGAUGGCACUUGAACUUUUCCAAAGUUGUAGCUUUCUUAUUCUAAGUUAUCUUUCAAAUACAAGCAACAGUGGCCUAUAGUUACCUCUUCCAGUUCUUUCAGUAGCCAAAAACUUCCUUCAUGUGAACCAAGUGAAGAAUGAAUCAGGGGCAGCAGCAAGAUGACCCUUAGCAAUUCCCAUUAGCAGUUUUUAUCUUCUGUAGUGCACAGAUCAUUUCCCUUGACCAAGAAAACAAAAGCAAAACAAGGAAAUGACUAUCAUAUUUUGUAUUGUCCCUAAGCAUCAGUUAUAUACCUGGAUUGUCCUCUUUCCCCCAAAAUAUCUAAAACAAUUAAAAAAUGACCCACAAUCUUUUGUUGCCCAUUCCAACCCCACUUCAUUCCAACUGUUAACUUCCUAACAUUGUUUUUAUAAGACAAUGACAAUGUUCAUAUUAAUCCCAUUUUCUUUUCUACAUGUAAAUUUAGAACAGUACUGUAUACUCAUAUUGGGAUCCAUAAACAAGUCUUUUUCAUCUUCA
This is a long non-coding RNA of Monodelphis domestica (gray short-tailed opossum), 3252 nucleotides long. RefSeq lists it as uncharacterized. NCBI's taxonomy places the organism in Eukaryota, Metazoa, Chordata, Mammalia, Didelphimorphia, Didelphidae. The record is from RefSeq and is a predicted model, not a curated record.